This 439-nucleotide ribosomal RNA is filed under the name uncultured bacterium. RNAcentral describes it as "partial 16S ribosomal RNA". It matches the Rfam family "Bacterial small subunit ribosomal RNA", at positions 338 to 795 of the family's 1533-position model. The record is from RNAcentral.
CCUACGGGUGGCAGCAGUAGGGAAUUUUCGUCAAUGGGCGCAAGCCUGAACGAGCAAUGCCGCGUGAACGAGGAAGGUCUUCGGGUCGUAAAGCUCUGUCCUCAAGGAAGAUAAUGACGGUACUUGAGGAGGAAGCCCCGGCUAACUACGUGCCAGCAGCCGCGGUAAUACGUAGGGGGCUAGCGUUAUCCGGAAUUACUGGGCGUAAAGGGUGCGUAGGUGGUUUCUUAAGUCAGAGGUGAAAGGCUACGGCUCAACCGUAGUAAGCCUUUGAAACUGGGGAACUUGAGUGCAGGAGAGGAGAGUGGAAUUCCUAGUGUAGCGGUGAAAUGCGUAGAUAUUAGGAGGAACACCAGUUGCGAAGGCGGCUCUCUGGACUGUAACUGACACUGAGGCACGAAAGCGUGGGGAGCAAACAGGAUUAGAUACCCGGGUAGUC